UAAAAAAAAAAAUUAGAGUUAAAAAAUAAAUCUAUUUUGGUGCAAAAAUAUUAAAAAUGUACAUAUAGUUUUCUCUAUAGUAUGCAUUUUCUAUAGCUUUUUGAAGACCCUUGUACUUAUUUCCACUGUUAACCUUGGUCUUGGUAAGCAUUUUGGUUUCUAAAAAAAAUUUGUUUUCACUUCAAAUGACUCAUUGCUUGUGUCCAAUUUUACACUUGAUAGUGUUCAAUUCUGAGAUGCUGGCAAUAGAGAAGAGAUUUUGAAACCAAGUCUUUGUUUUAUCACCUUUGUUCUUGUCCUCUCCAUGCCUGCCAUGUGUGGUCUGGUGACUAUUUUGUUCAUUGGAUGAAUGAAUAAAUGAGUGAAUGGGAGAUCAUGAAUAGGAACUCUGUGUGGCCUUCAAAGCUGUUGUUAUUCUUCUACCUUCUCUCCUAUCUCUAAACAAAGUCAGCUCCAUUCUUUUAAAUUCUUCUAUUUGUAAGUCCUUUUCUACUCAUUCUCCGUACUCCUUCCUGUCUGUCUACAAGUUAGAGAACAUAUACAGAUUCUGUCUGAAGGCAGAUUGGAAAUUGCAAAGCAGUUUGAGACCUGCAUCCUGGCUGAAAUUUUGUGGCACUGACCCAGUGAUGAUUGGGCAAGAGGACCACUUACAUCUUCUCUAAAGUAGAGGUGCCUUGACAUUGCACUUGGGACAACGUUAAGUUUAAUACAUUGUCCUGAUUCAUGAGUUGGGAAUCAUAAGGAUUUCUAGCCUAGACUCCUAUAGUAGUUUCUGCAAGGACUUGCUGUAUCAUCAUUAUUACUAUGAUUACUAUUCUAUUCAUCACAGUAAAACUUUAGAAACCAAGAUUUUCAUCCUCUUGACUUGUCUUCUGUUUGAACUUGUGCUAGGAAUCCCUGAUACUGAGGGAUAAAUACUUGGCUUGUAGGCUUCAAGCCCUGAGUGAUGUUCCACUGACUUGUAUUCCUCUUAUCAGUCCCAGCCAGAGGAAUGCAAAGCCUGGGGGAAAGAGGCAAAACUCAUGACAGAUAAGUGUUCUAAUCUUGGCCUUGUGGGAGUAAGAGGCCUCAGGAAAGCAAGAUAGCAUGCUGGAGUCAUGAUGACUUCCAAGCCCCAGAAGCUUCUCUGAAGUCACCCUGUCAAUAAAGCAAAUGGAAACUGGGAAGCCACCUUCCAAAAAUAGGUCUUUUCUUCUUGACCAUGAAGACUCAGUGCUUGGUGGUAGCUCCCAAUGAAGUGAUCAGGAGAUGUCAGGAAGAGCAUGACUCCUAUGGACAAUGGAGAUGAUGCAUUAGUCACCAAGCUCAUCGACCUCUGCUUUAGAACGCUACACCGUCUUCACUAGAGUGGAACCCAUAGUGCUUGGUUCUGGCCACAAGAAAAAUCUUUGUAUCUUUGUAAUAAUCCCUUAAAGAAAUGAAUACUAUUUUAUGCUUUUUCCUAUGCUACUGUCCAGUCUUUAAGUUGUCUGUAUUUCUGUUUUUUGUUUUGAAGACCAAGGGCUUCCUAGACACUACGUAAACCUGUUUCUUUCCAACUUUGAUUCUGUUAUUAUAACUUCCCAUUUCCCUUGCCGUUUCAUUAAUCUCCAUUAAAGCUUCUGUUUACUCUGCUUUCUCCUUAUUAGCAUUCAUGAACAUUUAAGAUGCUUCCAGUCCUUAAAAACCAAUAAGUUCCCAAGUAUGUGAUGGAGAUACAAUACACUAUCUUGACUUUCCUUUUGCCUUAUUAACGCAUCACAUAAUGUGCUUUAUUUUUUAUACUAGAAUAUAAACUCUCCAAGGAA
Ochotona curzoniae (black-lipped pika) is the source of this 1787-nucleotide long non-coding RNA. RefSeq lists it as uncharacterized. The transcript is spliced from 2 exons. The record is from RefSeq and is a predicted model, not a curated record. NCBI's taxonomy places the organism in Eukaryota, Metazoa, Chordata, Mammalia, Lagomorpha, Ochotonidae.